GAUGAACGCUGGCGGCGUGCCUAAUACAUGCAAGUCGAGCGAACAGACGAGGAGCUUGCUCCUCUGACGUUAGCGGCGGACGGGUGAGUAACACGUGGAUAACCUACCUAUAAGACUGGGAUAACUUCGGGAAACCGGAGCUAAUACCGGAUAAUAUAUUGAACCGCAUGGUUCAAUAGUGAAAGACGGUUUUGCUGUCACUUAUAGAUGGAUCCGCGCCGCAUUAGCUAGUUGGUAAGGUAACGGCUUACCAAGGCAACGAUGCGUAGCCGACCUGAGAGGGUGAUCGGCCACACUGGAACGGAGACACGGUCCAGACUCCUACGGGAGGCAGCAGUAGGGAAUCUUCCGCAGUGGGCGAAAGCUUGACGGAGCAACGCCGCGUGAGUGAUGAAGGUCUUCGGAUCGUAAAACUCUGUUAUUAGGGAAGAACAAAUGUGUAAGUAACUAUGCACGUCUUGACGGUACCUAAUCAGAAAGCCACGGCUAACUACGUG
Molecule: ribosomal RNA, 497 nt
Filed under: uncultured bacterium
Lineage: Bacteria
Description: partial 16S ribosomal RNA
Rfam family: Bacterial small subunit ribosomal RNA
Source: RNAcentral